GAUGAACGCUGGCGGCGUGCUUAAUACAUGCAAGUCGAGCGAAAGGACGAGAAGUUUGCUGCUCUGAUGUUAGCGGAGGGCGGGAGAGUAACACGUGGAUAACCUACCUAUAAGACUGGGAUAACUGCGGGACACCGGCGCUAAUAGCGGAUGACAUUUUGAACCGCAUGGUUCAAAAGUGAAAGACGGUCUUGCUGUCACCUAUAGAUGGAUCCGCGCUGCAUUAGCUAGUUGGUAAGGUAACGGCUCACCAAGGCAACGAGGCCUAGCCGACCUGAGAGGGUGAUCGGCCACGCGGGAGCUGAGGCACGGUCCGGACUCCUACGGGAGGCAGCAGUAGGGAGGGUGGCGCAAGGGGCGAAUACCGGACGGUGGGACGCAGCGUGAGGGAUGGAGGUCGUGGGAGCGUAGAACUCUGUUAGUUGGGAAGAACAUAUGUGUAAGGAACUGGGCACAUCGUGACGGUACCUGGUCAGAAAGCCACGGCUAACUACGUG
Molecule: ribosomal RNA, 497 nt
Filed under: uncultured bacterium
Lineage: Bacteria
Description: partial 16S ribosomal RNA
Rfam family: Bacterial small subunit ribosomal RNA
Source: RNAcentral